This 590-nucleotide ribosomal RNA is filed under the name uncultured Actinomycetes bacterium. RNAcentral's name for it is "bacterial SSU rRNA". It matches the Rfam family "Bacterial small subunit ribosomal RNA", at positions 845 to 1436 of the family's 1533-position model. Lineage: Bacteria; Bacillati; Actinomycetota; Actinomycetes. The record is from RNAcentral.
GACGCAGCUAACGCAUUAAGCGCCCCGCCUGGGGAGUACGAUCGCAAGAUUAAAACUCAAAGGAGUUGACGGGGCCCCGCACAAGCAGCGGAGCAUGCGGCUUAAUUCGACGCAACGCGAAGAACCUUACCAAGGCUUGACAUAUACAGAAAUAUGGCAGAGAUGUCAUAGCGGUAAAACGUCUGUAUACAGGUGGUGCAUGGUUGUCGUCAGCUCGUGUCGUGAGAUGUUGGGUUAAGUCCCGCAACGAGCGCAACCCUCGUUCUGUGUUGCCAGCAUUUGGUUGGGGACUCACAGGAGACUGCCGGGGUUAACUCGGAGGAAGGUGGGGAUGACGUCAAAUCAUCAUGCCCCUUAUGUCUUGGGCUGCACGCAUGCUACAAUGGCUGGUACAAAGGGCUGCAAUACUGCAAAGUGGAGCGAAUCCCAAAAAGCCAGUCUCAGUUCGGAUUGGGGUCUGCAACUCGACCCCAUGAAGUCGGAGUUGCUAGUAAUCGUAGAUCAGCAACGCUACGGUGAAUACGUUCCCGGGGCUUGUACACACCGCCCGUCACAUCACGAAAGUCGGUAACACCCAAAGUCAGUGGCCC